RNAcentral lists this ribosomal RNA (272 nucleotides) under uncultured Oscillospiraceae bacterium. Its description in RNAcentral is "partial 16S ribosomal RNA". The stretch from base 34 to 272 matches the Rfam family "Bacterial small subunit ribosomal RNA", at positions 100 to 339 of the family's 1533-position model. Lineage: Bacteria; Bacillati; Bacillota; Clostridia; Eubacteriales; Oscillospiraceae. The record is from RNAcentral.
UUGCACAGCCCAAUCUUUUCAUAACUUAGUGGCGGACGGGUGAGUAACACGUGGGUAACCUACCUUUCAGAGGGGGACAACAGUUGGAAACGACUGCUAAUACCGCAUAAUGUAUUCUGACCGCAUGAUCGGAAUACCAAAGAUUUAUUGCUGAAAGAUGGCCUCGCGUCUGAUUAGAUAGUUGGUGAGGUAACGGCUCACCAAGUCGACGAUCAGUAGCCGGACUGAGAGGUUGAACGGCCACAUUGGGACUGAGAUACGGCCCAGACUCC